GGUUCGAUGGUGUAGUUGGUUAUCACGUCCGUCUCACAUGUACUGUACUGCUAUACACACGGGAGGUCCCCGGUUCGAGCCCGGGUCGAACCA
Non-coding RNA from Paramarasmius palmivorus, 93 nucleotides. Lineage: Eukaryota; Fungi; Basidiomycota; Agaricomycetes; Agaricales; Marasmiaceae. The record is from the annotation of a GenBank genome assembly.